GGAGAGGUGACAGAGUGGCCGAUCGUGCGGCACUGGAAAUGCCGUGUGCCCGAAAGGGUACCGCGGGUUCGAAUCCCGCCCUCUCCG
RNAcentral lists this transfer RNA (87 nucleotides) under Phycisphaerae bacterium. Its description in RNAcentral is "tRNA-Ser". It matches the Rfam family "tRNA". From Rfam's summary of the family: Transfer RNA (tRNA) molecules are approximately 80 nucleotides in length. Their secondary structure includes four short double-helical elements and three loops (D, anti-codon, and T loops). Further hydrogen bonds mediate the characteristic L-shaped molecular structure. tRNAs have two regions of fundamental functional importance: the anti-codon, which is responsible for specific mRNA codon recognition, and the 3' end, to which the tRNAs corresponding amino acid is attached (by aminoacyl-tRNA synthetases). tRNAs cope with the degeneracy of the genetic code in two manners: having more than one tRNA (with a specific anti-codon) for a particular amino acid; and 'wobble' base-pairing, i.e. permitting non-standard base-pairing at the 3rd anti-codon position. The record is from RNAcentral. Lineage: Bacteria; Pseudomonadati; Planctomycetota; Phycisphaerae.